RNAcentral lists this ribosomal RNA (386 nucleotides) under uncultured Parabacteroides sp. RNAcentral describes it as "bacterial SSU rRNA". It matches the Rfam family "Bacterial small subunit ribosomal RNA", at positions 355 to 739 of the family's 1533-position model. The record is from RNAcentral. Lineage: Bacteria; Pseudomonadati; Bacteroidota; Bacteroidia; Bacteroidales; Tannerellaceae.
UGAGGAAUAUUGGUCAAUGGGCGAGAGCCUGAACCAGCCAAGUCGCGUGAGGGAAGACGGUCCUACGGAUUGUAAACCUCUUUUGCCGGGGAGCAAAGGGGCCAUUGAUGGCAGGAUGAGCGUACCCGGAGAAAAAGCAUCGGCUAACUCCGUGCCAGCAGCCGCGGUAAUACGGAGGAUGCGAGCGUUAUCCGGAUUCAUUGGGUUUAAAGGGUGCGUAGGUGGCCGAUUAAGUCAGCGGUGAAAGUCAGUGGCUCAACCAUUGAAUUGCCGUUGAAACUGGUUGGCUUGAGUACGUACGGGGCAGGCGGAAUGCGUGGUGUAGCGGUGAAAUGCAUAGAUAUCACGCAGAACCCCGAUCGCGAAGGCAGCCUGCCAGGCCGUGA